CCUACGGGUGGCAGCAGUGGGGAAUAUUGCACAAUGGGGGAAACCCUGAUGCAGCGACGCCGCGUGAGUGAAGCAGUAUUUCGGUAUGUAAAGCUCUAUCAGCAGGGAAGAAAAUGACGGUACCUGCUUAAGAAGCACCGGCUCACUACGUGCCAGCAGCCGCGGUCAUACGUAGGGGGCAAGCGUUAUCCGGAUUUACUGGGUGUAAAGGGAGCGUAGACGGCAGCACAAGUCUGGAGUGAAAUGCCGGGGCUUAACCCCGGAACUGCUUUGGAAACGGUGCAGCUAGAGUGCAGGAGAGGUAAGUGGAAUUCCUAGUGUAGCGGGGAAAUGCGUAGAUAUUAGGAGGAACACCAGGGGCGAAGGCGGCUUACUGGACUGUAACUGACGUUGAGGCUCGAAAGCGUGGGGAGCAAACAGGAUUAGAUACCCUUGUAGU
This 439-nucleotide ribosomal RNA is filed under the name uncultured bacterium. RNAcentral describes it as "partial 16S ribosomal RNA". It matches the Rfam family "Bacterial small subunit ribosomal RNA", at positions 338 to 794 of the family's 1533-position model. The record is from RNAcentral.